Molecule: ribosomal RNA, 504 nt
Filed under: uncultured bacterium
Lineage: Bacteria
Description: bacterial SSU rRNA
Rfam family: Bacterial small subunit ribosomal RNA
Source: RNAcentral
UAGUCCACGCCCUAAACGAUGUUCACUGGAUGUGUGAUAUUAAUUGCGCAUCUGAGCGAAAGCAUUAAGUGAACCACCUGGGGAGUACGCCGGCAACGAUGAAACUCAAAUGAAUUGACGGGGGCCCGCACAAGCGGUGGAGCAUGUGGUUUAAUUCGAUGCAACGCGAAGAACCUUACCAUCCCUUGACAUCCAGAGAAUCUGUUAGAGAUAGUAGAGUGCCUUCGGGAACUCUGAGACAGGUGCUGCAUGGCUGUCGUCAGCUCGUGUUGUGAAAUGUUGGGUUAAGUCCCGCAACGAGCGCAACCCUUAUCCUUACUUGCCAGCGGGUUAUGCCGGGAACUUUAGGGAGACUGCCGGUGAUAAACCGGAGGAAGGUGGGGACGACGUCAAGUCAUCAUGGCCCUUACGGGAUGGGCUACACACGUGCUACAACGGCAGAUACAAAGGGUUGCUAACCUGCGAGGGUAUGCGAAUCUCAUAAAGUCUGUCGUAGUCCGGAUC